CACUUGAUGAAAUAUACUUUGGGAAAGGCCAUCUUUUUUGAGGCUCUCUUAGAACCUCUGAUUGUAGCUGGUAUUUUUAAGAGCCCAGAUUCUUCACUGUGGGAGACUACGGCUUUUGAAGAGUCAGCCAACCAGCUUGAGAGUGAAUAUAAUCACCCAUUUUCUAAAAUGAAAGAGGAGACUUGGGACCAGCCUCCGCUGUGUGGUACCGAGCAAGAGCAGCUGCAGACAUGCAGAGCUGGUUUUCAACUCAGGCGAGGCAGUGUAUCAGCUGUGUAACCCUAGCAAUUCCUUCAACCCCUCUGCAGCUGUCUCUCCCCCUGCAAAAUGUAACAAUUGCUGCUGUGCCCCCUUACGGGAUGCUGAAAAAAAGGGUAAGUAAGACCCUGCCUGUUUCCUUCCAAAUUUCUUCAUGGUCCAAGUAUCUUUAUGUAAUCACAGAAGACUGAGGGAAUAAUGACACCAUUUCAGGAUUUAAAAAAUAAUUGUGAAACAUUCCUUGAAGAGACCUUCCUCCACAUAAAGACAGCAGCAUCAGCUGCUCAACAGACACCCCUUGGUGAACAAGAUAGAGGCUCUCCAGGCAAGUCACAAGCAAGACUGCAACUGCAGUCAGGUUCUGUGGUCAGCCACAGAGGGACCUAAGGCAGCAGCAGUGGCUCAAGGAGAGCUGCAUCUACAGCUGAAGCUGAAGGAUUCUGAUGGACAUCAGACCUAGCUAUGGACAGAGGGGUAACCUGAAGAACUGAGGAAUGCAUGAGUCUGAGCCAAGGGGGCCUCAAGCCUACAGAUCUUUCUUGUCAUUAUUAAUGGCAUCCACAUUCUUUGAAUAUCCUCCUUAAGGCAGAUGUGGGGCUGAGGGGAAUUAAGAAUUAGGUUACUGUGUACUAUAUUCAAGAAGUUCUUAUUGUCAACUUAAAUAAAGACAGAGAAAAUUAUGUCUGAAUAUGUUGCGUUUACUCAGGAUUAUAAUCUGGAAUGCACAGAAUGGCAAGCCACCAGCCUGUUUGGUGAGAGAAGG
This 1021-nucleotide long non-coding RNA is filed under the name Homo sapiens (human). RNAcentral's name for it is "HSALNT0063143". The record is from RNAcentral. Lineage: Eukaryota; Metazoa; Chordata; Mammalia; Primates; Hominidae.